This 70-nucleotide transfer RNA is filed under the name Podarcis lilfordi (Lilford's wall lizard). Its description in RNAcentral is "tRNA.Lys". The stretch from base 5 to 62 matches the Rfam family "tRNA", at positions 8 to 63 of the family's 71-position model. From Rfam's summary of the family: Transfer RNA (tRNA) molecules are approximately 80 nucleotides in length. Their secondary structure includes four short double-helical elements and three loops (D, anti-codon, and T loops). Lineage: Eukaryota; Metazoa; Chordata; Lepidosauria; Squamata; Lacertidae. The record is from RNAcentral.
GCCAUAGCUCAGUUGGUAGAGCAUGAGAUUCUUAAUCUCAGGGUCAUGGGUUUGAGCCCUAUGUUGGGUG